RNAcentral lists this ribosomal RNA (200 nucleotides) under uncultured bacterium. RNAcentral's name for it is "partial 16S ribosomal RNA". It matches the Rfam family "Bacterial small subunit ribosomal RNA", at positions 328 to 539 of the family's 1533-position model. The record is from RNAcentral.
ACGCUCGACACCUACGAGAGGCAGCAGGUGGGGAAUAUUGCACAAGUGGGGGAAACCCUGAUGCAGCGACGCCGCGUGAGUGAAGAAGUAUUUCGGUAUGUAAAGCUCUAUCAGCAGGGAAGAAGAUGACGGUACCUGAGUAAGAAGCCCCGGCUAACUACGUGCCAGCAGCCGCGGUAAUCUGAGCGGGCUGGCAAGGC